GCGCCCUUAGCUCAGUUGGAUAGAGCAGCGGCCUUCUAAGCCGCAGGUCGGAGGUUCGAAUCCUCCAGGGCGCGCCA
Molecule: transfer RNA, 77 nt
Filed under: Alphaproteobacteria bacterium
Lineage: Bacteria; Pseudomonadati; Pseudomonadota; Alphaproteobacteria
Also listed under: 2 other names
Description: tRNA-Arg
Rfam family: tRNA
About the family: Transfer RNA (tRNA) molecules are approximately 80 nucleotides in length. Their secondary structure includes four short double-helical elements and three loops (D, anti-codon, and T loops).
Source: RNAcentral